GGAGGCUACACAUGCAAGUCGAGCGGAUGAAAGGAGCUUGCUCCUGGAUUCAGCGGCGGACGGGUGAGUAAUGCCUAGGAAUCUGCCUGGUAGUGGGGGACAACGUUUCGAAAGGAACGCUAAUACCGCAUACGUCCUACGGGAGAAAGCAGGGGACCUUCGGGCCUUGCGCUAUCAGAUGAGCCUAGGUCGGAUUAGCUAGUUGGUGAGGUAAUGGCUCACCAAGGCGACGAUCCGUAACUGGUCUGAGAGGAUGAUCAGUCACACUGGAACUGAGACACGGUCCAGACUCCUACGGGAGGCAGCAGUGGGGAAUAUUGGACAAUGGGCGAAAGCCUGAUCCAGCCAUGCCGCGUGUGUGAAGAAGGUCUUCGGAUUGUAAAGCACUUUAAGUUGGGAGGAAGGGUUGUAGAUUAAUACUCUGCAAUUUGACGUUACCGACAGAAUAAGCACCGGCUAACUCUGUGCCAGCAGCCGCGGUAAUACAGAGGGUGCAAGCGUUAAUCGGAAUUACUGGGCGUAAAGCGCGCGUAGGUGGUUCGUUAAGUUGGAUGUGAAAUCCCCGGGCUCAACUGGGAACUGAU
This 584-nucleotide ribosomal RNA is filed under the name bacterium D10. Its description in RNAcentral is "bacterial SSU rRNA". It matches the Rfam family "Bacterial small subunit ribosomal RNA", at positions 42 to 625 of the family's 1533-position model. The record is from RNAcentral.